RNAcentral lists this ribosomal RNA (232 nucleotides) under uncultured bacterium. RNAcentral's name for it is "partial 16S ribosomal RNA". It matches the Rfam family "Bacterial small subunit ribosomal RNA", at positions 99 to 334 of the family's 1533-position model. The record is from RNAcentral.
CGGACGGGUGAGUAAUGUCUGGGAAACUGCCCGAUGGGAGGGGGUAACUACUGGAAACGGUAGCUAAUACCGCAUAACGUCGCAAGACCAAAGAGGGGGACCUUCGGGCCUCUUGCCAUCGGAUGUGCCCAGAUGGGAUUAGCUAGUAGGUGGGGUAACGGCUCACCUAGGCGACGAUCCCUAGCUGGUCUGAGAGGAUGACCAGCCACACUGGAACUGAGACACGGUCCAG